AGCCGCCACCAGGACAAGCAGAAUGUGAAGAUGCCGUUCUCUCUCCUACAGCUCACCACCGUUUAGACGGCUGGCCAGCGAGCUCAGGGGUGCUCCUGUGUUUACCUCCGCAGAGGUCUCACUACAUAAACAGAACAGCCUUGAUCUGUGGUCAUCUCGGCUCAGGCUUCUAAGUGCUGGGAUUACAAGUGUUCACCCACCACCAAAGCCUGCUCAAGCAUCCAGACUUAACACAGCCAUGUGAUGCCACCACCAAGAUAAGUGCUGGGAUUAUAAAUGUGUGCCACCACAUCCUGCUCAAGCGUCCAGACCUAACACAGCCACCUGAAGCCACCACACAGGUGGCUCUGCUUUUUCAGUCUUCUUUUUAUUGUUCCAAUAAAUGGCUUUUCUCUGUCCCCCUUCAUUGGUGACUUCAAUAAAUAUUACAGUAUAUGCUCUUCUA
This is a long non-coding RNA of Peromyscus leucopus (white-footed mouse), 445 nucleotides long. RefSeq lists it as uncharacterized. Lineage: Eukaryota; Metazoa; Chordata; Mammalia; Rodentia; Cricetidae. The record is from RefSeq and is a predicted model, not a curated record. The transcript has 3 exons.